Molecule: unclassified non-coding RNA, 522 nt
Filed under: Hevea brasiliensis (rubber tree)
Lineage: Eukaryota; Viridiplantae; Streptophyta; Magnoliopsida; Malpighiales; Euphorbiaceae
Source: RNAcentral
CUUUGUAAUUUCUUUUCUGAUCUUUUGAGAAGAUCAGUUAUUUCAUGGGUAAGAGCCUCAAUACGACGUUGAUCUUCCUUACCAUCUCCAAAUGAUGGCAUUAAAGCCUUAGCAUGAGCUUUGGCUAGUUCAGACAUCUUUGUCCGGACCCGAUGAACAUUAGCCGUGAUUUCAUCUGACAAGUCCACCCAAGCUGGCGGUAGACCUACUGUAACUGGUCCAUUACUGGAGGUUCCGGGGUCUUCCGUACUGAGAGGAGCAUAAGAUCGAUUAGGAUUAAGCAAAGAAGUCGUUGCCAAUUCGAUCACCGGCCCACUACCAUGUCCGGAUGACGUGGACGUCGAAGAGCCCGCCGGGAUCCGAACACUUCUCAACGCAUCUCUAUACUUCCUAAACACAAGCGUUCUAUUUCUGCUCGCCAUUAACGUUUUCUAUACAGAAAUCCAAUAAAAUGGAGGAAUAAAUUGCGCCCAGCGUCCUACAGAUAAGUGAUUCCACUUGUGCUUAGAUCUGAGAUCUCUU